RNAcentral lists this ribosomal RNA (347 nucleotides) under uncultured bacterium. RNAcentral's name for it is "bacterial SSU rRNA". It matches the Rfam family "Bacterial small subunit ribosomal RNA", at positions 917 to 1267 of the family's 1533-position model. The record is from RNAcentral.
GGGCCCGCACAAGCGGUGGAGCAUGUGGUUUAAUUCGAUGAUACGCGAGGAACCUUACCAGGGCUUAAAUGGGAGAUGACAGGGGCAGAGACGCCCUUUUCUUCGGACAUCUUUCAAGGUGCUGCAUGGUUGUCGUCAGCUCGUGCCGUGAGGUGUCAGGUUAAGUCCUAUAACGAGCGCAACCCCUACCGUUAGUUGCCAGCGAUUCAAGUCGGGGACUCUAACGGGACUGCCGGUGCAAACCGUGAGGAAGGUGGGGACGACGUCAAAUCAUCACGGCCCUUACGUCCUGGCUACACACGUGCUACAAUGGUCGGUACAGAGGGAAGCUACCCCGUAAGGGGAUG